AUGGGUUCAGGACAUCAGGCUGCGCCCAAACGAGUCCACAGCUUCCUCGUCCUCUGGAGGGCUCUGCGGGCAGAAGCUGUGUUGCUGCAACCACAGGUGGUCGACAAGAUCUCCUGGCAUCUUCAGAGCGCUGGCAUAUACAAUGCAAAAUCAGGUUACAAAGCACAAUUCAGUGAUCUUCAGAAGACUGAAGACAAACAGCUCAUAUGGAAAACUUGGGCACCCGGAAACAUCAAAGUUUUCUUCUGGUUACUUCUUCGAAAUCGCCUCUGGUGCAAUGACAGGCUUCAGCGCAGAGGAUGGGAAAAUGGAUACUUUUGCACUCUAUGCACAAGAAAUCUGGAGACCUCGGUUCAUCUCUUUUGGGACUGCCCGGUCGCUAAAGAAAUCUGGCGAAGGAUUUCAACCUGGACAGGCCGUGACAGACUUGCGCGCCUUGCUUCAUCCUCGGACCACAUCACCUCCUCUGUUCGCAGAAUGCGCUGCCUCAUCCAUCAGGCAAGACCAAGGCUCAGAGAGAGGCUAAAGACGAUGAUCUUCCUUGUAACAUGGCACAUCUGGAGGGAAAGAAACAACAGAAUUUUUAGACACGAAUCAAACCAAAUUUGCAAUGUGAUUGCCGCGAUCAGAAGAGAUGUAGAAGGCUGGAAGCUAACCGGGGCGAAGUGCCUCGAGACGCCACUAGGGGAUCCAGGCUAG
RNAcentral lists this ribosomal RNA (699 nucleotides) under Triticum aestivum (bread wheat). RNAcentral describes it as "partial small subunit ribosomal RNA". Lineage: Eukaryota; Viridiplantae; Streptophyta; Magnoliopsida; Poales; Poaceae. The record is from RNAcentral.